GAGGGUGCAGUGUGAGGAAGAGCGAGGGGUGUAGCAGGGAAAGUACUGGUCUGUGCUGCGUGUGGGAAGUGACUUUAGUGGCGGCGUGAAGGCGAGGACACGAGUGAGGUGCUGGCAGGCUGACUGAGAACGUCAUUGUACGACAGAGUAGCCAGCUAAACAGCCGAGCCCUCAGCGUGCGCCUCCCGCCGGACAAGGGACCCUACAUCCAACACUACCUCAUUGAGAUCCACAACGAAGGCUCCUCCUACUCACUCCAAGCUUCUGAAAACCGCUUCGACACCCUUCCUUCGCUCAUCACCUAUUAUUCUCAGUGCUGCGAAGAGUUGCUGGCUCAGCUCAAGCUUCCUCGCACCGUCCAGGAGGCCAAGACCCGCCAUGAACUCGGCUCUCUCUCGCUGCUCGGACAAGAUGAGCAUCAAACACUUACGUGGUCGUGAAAUGUAAUUGAAGUGUAAUGAGCGAGAGGAGGAUUCUCCACUUCAAUGGUGGAAUGACCUCUGCCUUUCUACGAAUGUGUGGGUAGUUUGAUGGCCCGGGAAGUUAAUAAUCCUUGACUGCAAUGCCUCAUUCAUGACAUCUGCUUACCCCAGUGAAUGUCCACGAUGUCACCACUACGAUGGCCAGUUAUAAGACUGCCAUAGCGACUGAGUUGGUGCAAAAAGUAUCCCCUACCUGGCGGACAGUACCUCCUUGCCCACGAGAUCAUCCCUUUCAUUCUGUGUAACUUAAUAUAAUCAAGCGUUGUUGAAGCGUGAUCAGACGCAUGUUAACGGGAGGUCAUUGAACUGAAGAGGGGAAGAGGUUUGAUGGGAGGAGACAUUGGUAAUACUGCAUACUAGUUUCCAGAAGUGUUGGACGUGCUUGAAUCAUACUUUGUUGUGCAGUAUUUUUGAGACAUAGACGUUGAUUUGGCGCGCUCAAAAAACACGCGAAAAUUUGACUUUCCGGGGAGAAUGGUGGCUUCGGCCGCCCAAAACCUGCAGAUGGCGCUCUCUCUCUCUCUCUCUCUCUCUCUCUCUCUCUCUCUCUCUCUCUCUCUCUCUCUCUCUCUCUCUCUCUCUCUCUCUCUCUCUCUCGCUCUCUAUCUUCCCCCUCCCUCUCUCCCCAUUCUCUCUCUUCCCCCCUCCCUCCAUCCCCAUUCCCUCUCCCUAUUUUCUCUUCCCCUUCCCUCCCUCCCCAUUCCCUCUCUCUCCCCAUUCCUUCCCUCCUCUCCCCCUUCCCUUCAUCCUUACAUUUCCUCCCUCCCUCCAUCUCCCUCAUCCCUUUCUAUUUCAUUUUGUUUUUUAUUUAUUUAUUUAUUUUUAUUUAUUCAUUUAAUUUAUUUUUAUUUAAGAGGGGUACCUGCCAAGGCCAACAAAAUUGGAAAGAAAAAAAAUGUUCCCUGAGGCGCCGGUCCCCAAACUGAGUCAGAAACGAUUGUCAAAAAUUAGAGGAUGAGUGUCUUGAAGCUUCCCUCUUGAGAGAGUAGUCUUGAUAAGCGUCCACAGUGUUAGACGAAGACUUUGAGUUGUGUUGAUGAGGGGAGUAACAGUCUUCGGAGCUUUGUUCUUUAUUAACAAUAUGUACAGAAAGAAGGGCAAGGAAAAGAUGUCUCAGAGUGGUUAGUAAUUAAGGAAAGAUGUGCCAAACAGUUGUACAAGGGCUUAGCAUUGACGUGUUUGGGCAAAGCACCUUAUCUAUUUCUGUCUUUAAGGUAUACGUGGAAACAAUGAAGGAAGUGAUGAUAUUGCGUGGCUUGCCUCCGUUGUUGUCAUGGUUGGACACAAAACAAGAGUAGAAGAAGAUGAUGAUAAUGUGAAGAAAAGAAUACGUUCAAGAAGAAUUACUUGAAGAAAAAAAGGAGGAAAAUGAAUAUAAAAAAAAGUUGAAGAAAAUGAUAAGCGUUAUGUGAUGGUCAUUGUCUCUUAUUUCCGAACACUCUACUAAAGUGACUCUAAAUGAAGUUGAUUGUCUAAUUAUUAUUAAUUAUAUUAUAGAAGAAAAGGAAAACUGAACACACACACACACACACACACACACACACACACACACACACACACACACACACACACACACACACACA
Scylla paramamosain (green mud crab) is the source of this 2065-nucleotide long non-coding RNA. RefSeq lists it as uncharacterized. NCBI's taxonomy places the organism in Eukaryota, Metazoa, Arthropoda, Malacostraca, Decapoda, Portunidae. The record is from RefSeq and is a predicted model, not a curated record. The transcript is spliced from 3 exons.